AUUGAACGCUGGCGGCAUGCCUUACACAUGCAAGUCGAACGGCAGCACGGGUGCUUGCACCUGGUGGCGAGUGGCGAACGGGUGAGUAAUACAUCGGAACAUGUCCUGUAGUGGGGGAUAGCCCGGCGAAAGCCGGAUUAAUACCGCAUACGAUCCACGGAUGAAAGCGGGGGACCUUCGGGCCUCGCGCUAUAGGGUUGGCCGAUGGCUGAUUAGCUAGUUGGUGGGGUAAAGGCCUACCAAGGCGACGAUCAGUAGCUGGUCUGAGAGGACGACCAGCCACACUGGGACUGAGACACGGCCCAGACUCCUACGGGAGGCAGCAGUGGGGAAUUUUGGACAAUGGGCGAAAGCCUGAUCCAGCAAUGCUGCGUGUGUGAAGAAGGCCUUCGGGCUGUAAAGCACUUUUGUCCGGAAAGAAAUCCUUGGCUCUAAUACAGUCGGGGGAUGACGGUACCGGAAGAAUAAGCACCGGCUAACUACGUG
Molecule: ribosomal RNA, 486 nt
Filed under: uncultured bacterium
Lineage: Bacteria
Description: partial 16S ribosomal RNA
Rfam family: Bacterial small subunit ribosomal RNA
Source: RNAcentral